This 418-nucleotide ribosomal RNA is filed under the name uncultured bacterium. RNAcentral describes it as "bacterial SSU rRNA". It matches the Rfam family "Bacterial small subunit ribosomal RNA", at positions 338 to 795 of the family's 1533-position model. The record is from RNAcentral.
CCUACGGGAUGCACCAGUGGGGAAUUUUCCGCAAUGGGCGAAAGCCUGACGGAGCAAUGCCGCGUGGAGGUAGAAGGCCCACGGGUCGUGAACUUCUUCUCCCGGAGAAGAAGCCCCGGCUAACUUCGUGCCAGCAGCCGCGGUAAUACGAAGGGGGCUAGCGUUGUUCGGAAUUACUGGGCGUAAAGCGCGCGUAGGCGGAUAGAUAAGUCAGAGGUGAAAUCCCGGGGCUCAACCCCGGAAUUGCCUUUGAUACUGUUUAUCUUGAGUGCAGAAGAGGUAAGUGGAAUUCCGAGUGUAGAGGUGAAAUUCGUAGAUAUUCGGAGGAACACCAGUGGCGAAGGCGGCUUACUGGUCUGCAACUGACGCUGAGGCGCGAAAGCGUGGGGAGCAAACAGGAUUAGAUACCCCAGUAGUC